CGCCCGCCGGCGACCGGCGCACGGGUGAGUAACACGUAUGCAACCUGGCCGCCACAGGGGGAUAACCCGCGGAAACGCGGCCUAAUACCCCGUGACGCCACCGGAGGGCAUCCUCCGGUGGCCAAAGGAGCGAUCCGGGUGGCGGGUGGGCAUGCGGCGCAUUAGCUAGACGGCGGGGUGACGGCCCACCGUGGCGACGAUGCGUAGGGGUUCUGAGAGGAAGGCCCCCCACACUGGGACUGAGACACGGCCCAGACUCCUACGGAAGGCAGCAG
This 275-nucleotide ribosomal RNA is filed under the name uncultured bacterium. Its description in RNAcentral is "partial 16S ribosomal RNA". It matches the Rfam family "Bacterial small subunit ribosomal RNA", at positions 82 to 354 of the family's 1533-position model. The record is from RNAcentral.